This 497-nucleotide ribosomal RNA is filed under the name uncultured bacterium. RNAcentral describes it as "partial 16S ribosomal RNA". It matches the Rfam family "Bacterial small subunit ribosomal RNA", at positions 28 to 507 of the family's 1533-position model. The record is from RNAcentral.
GAUGAACGCUGGCGGCGUGCCUAAUACAUGCAAGUCGAGCGAACAGACGAGGAGCUUGCUCCUCUGACGUUAGCGGCGGACGGGUGAGUAACACGUGGAUAACCUACCUAUAAGACUGGGAUAACUUCGGGAAACCGGAGCUAAUACCGGAUAAUAUAUUGAACCGCAUGGUUCAAUAGUGAAAGACGGUUUUGCUGUCAGUUAUAGAUGGAUCCGCGCCGCAUUAGCUAGUUGGUAAGGUAACGGCUUACCAAGGCGACGAUGCGUAGCCGACCUGAGGGGGUGAUCGGCCACACUGGAACUGAGACACGGUCCAGACUCCUACGGGAGGCAGCAGUAGGGAAUCUUCCGCAAUGGGCGAAAGCCUGACGGAGCAACGCCGCGUGAGUGAUGAAGGUCUUCGGAUCGUAAAACUCUGUUAUUAGGGAAGAACAAAUGUGUAAGUAACUAUGCACGUCUUGACGGUACCUAAUCAGAAAGCCACGGCUAACUACGUG